UUGAUAUUCCUGUACUACCGAUAACCGUUUGAGAGAAGGGAUGACACAGUAGGAUAAGCUAAGCACACUGUUGGUUAUGUGUGCCCAAGCAUUGAGGCAGUCAAAGUAGGCAAAUCCGCUUUGAUAAUGCUGGGAUGUGAUGGGGAGCGAAAUUUAGUAGCGAAGUAGCUGAUUUCACACUGUCAAGAAAAGUCUCUAUCGAGGUUAAAGGUACCCGUACCGCAAACCGACACAGGUGGGUGAGGAGAGUAUCCUAAGGCCAGCGAGAGAACUGUUGUUAAGGAACUCGGCAAAAUGACCCCGUAACUUAGGGAUAAGGGGUGCCACCAUCAGGUGGCCGCAGAGAAUAGGCCCAAGCGACUGUUUACCAAAAACAUAGGUUUCUGCUAAGUCGCAAGACGAUGUAUAGGAGCUGACGCCUGCCCGGUGCUGGAAGGUUAAGGGGAUCUGUUAGAGCAAUCGAAGCAGUGAACUUAAGCCCCAGUAAACGGCGGCCGUAACUAUAACGGUCCUAAGGUAGCGAAAUUCCUUGUCGGGUAAGUUCCGACCCGCACGAAAGGCGUAACGAUUUGGGCACUGUCUCAACAACAGACUCGGUGAAAUUGUAAUUCCGGUGAAGAUGCCGGAUACCUGCGACAGGACGGAAAGACCCCAUGGAGCUUUACUGUAGCUUGACAUUGGGUCUUGGUACUACAUGUACAGGAUAGGUGGGAGGCUUUGAAACCAGGACGCCAGUUUUGGCGGAGCCAUCCUUGGGAUACCACCCUUGUAGUACUGGGACUCUAACCAUAGGCCAUGAAUCUGGUCUUGGGACACUGUCAGGUGGGCAGUUUGACUGGGGCGGUCGCCUCCCAAAAGGUAACGGAGGCGCUCAAAGGUUCUCUCAGUACGGUCGGAAAUCGUACGUAGAGUGUAAAGGCAAAAGAGAGCUUGAUUGCAAGACAUACAGGUCGAGCAAGGAUGAAAAUCGGACUUAGUGAUCCGGUGGUUCUGCGUGGAAGGGCCAUCGCUCAACGGAUAAAAGCUACCCUGGGGAUAACAGGCUUAUCUCCCCCAAGAGUCCACAUCGACGGGGAGGUUUGGCACCUCGAUGUCGGCUCAUCACAUCCUGGGGCUGUAGUAGGUCCCAAGGGUUGGGCUGUUCGCCCAUUAAAGUGGUACGCGAGCUGGGUUCAGAACGUCGUGAGACAGUUCGGUCCCUAUCCGUCGCAGGCGUAGGAAAUUUGAGAAGACCUGUCCUUAGUACGAGAGGACCGGGAUGGACG
Molecule: ribosomal RNA, 1265 nt
Filed under: Clostridioides difficile
Lineage: Bacteria; Bacillati; Bacillota; Clostridia; Peptostreptococcales; Peptostreptococcaceae
Description: partial 23S ribosomal RNA
Rfam family: Bacterial large subunit ribosomal RNA
Source: RNAcentral